Molecule: ribosomal RNA, 497 nt
Filed under: uncultured bacterium
Lineage: Bacteria
Description: partial 16S ribosomal RNA
Rfam family: Bacterial small subunit ribosomal RNA
Source: RNAcentral
GAUGAACGCUGGCGGCGUGCCUAAUACAUGCAAGUCGAGCGAACAGACGAGGAGCUUGCUCCUCUGACGUUAGCGGCGGACGGGUGAGUAACACGUGGAUAACCUACCUAUAAGACUGGGAUAACUUCGGGAAACCGGAGCUAAUACCGGAUAAUAUAUUGAACCGCAUGGUUCAAUAGUGAAAGACGGUUUUGCUGUCACUUAUAGAUGGAUCCGCGCCGCAUUAGCUAGUUGGUAAGGUAACGGCUUACCAAGGCAACGAUGCGUAGCCGACCUGAGAGGGUGAUCGGCCACACUGGAACUGAGACGCGGUCCAGACUCCUACGGGAGGCAGCAGUAGGGAAUCUUCCGCGAUGGGCGAAAGCCUGACGGAGCAACGCCGCGUGAGUGAUGAAGGUCUGCGGAUCGUAAAACUCUGUUAUUGGGGAAGAACAAAUGUGUAAGUAACUAUGCACGUCUUGACGGUACCUAAUCAGAAAGCCACGGCUAACUACGUG